This 473-nucleotide ribosomal RNA is filed under the name uncultured organism. RNAcentral describes it as "partial 16S ribosomal RNA". It matches the Rfam family "Bacterial small subunit ribosomal RNA", at positions 332 to 801 of the family's 1533-position model. The record is from RNAcentral.
UACACUCCUGCGGGAGGCAGCAGUGAGGAAUAUUGGACAAUGGGUGGAAGCCUGAUCCAGCCAUCCCGCGUGCAGGAAGACGGCCCUAUGGGUUGUAAACUGCUUUUAUCUGGGGAUAAACCUACUUACGUGUAAGUAGCUGAAGGUACCAGAAGAAUAAGCACCGGCUAACUCCGUGCCAGCAGCCGCGGUAAUACGGAGGGUGCAAGCGUUAUCCGGAUUUAUUGGGUUUAAAGGGUCCGUAGGCGGUCUGAUAAGUCAGUGGUGAAAUCCGACAGCUUAACUGUCGAACUGCCAUUGAUACUGUUAGUCUUGAGUAAGGUUGAAGUGGCUGGAAUAAGUAGUGUAGCGGUGAAAUGCAUAGAUAUUACUUAGAACACCAAUUGCGAAGGCAGGUCACUAAGUCUUAACUGACGCUGAUGGACGAAAGCGUGGGGAGCGAACAGGAUUAGAAACCCUGGUAGUCCCAUGAU